This 76-nucleotide small RNA is filed under the name Xanthomonas vasicola. RNAcentral's name for it is "sX9 sRNA". It matches the Rfam family "Xanthomonas sRNA sX9". Lineage: Bacteria; Pseudomonadati; Pseudomonadota; Gammaproteobacteria; Lysobacterales; Lysobacteraceae. The record is from RNAcentral.
AUGUACCACUCGUACACUGCGUUUCCUCCGCGUCGUCCACGCCGACUUGGCGUCUGCUCGCGACGUUUUGUUAGCG